GGACGUGCGGCGCGGCGCGGUCGGCGCGAUCGGGUUCGCGGCGCCCGACGAUGCGUCCACCAUCCACGCACUGUUCGCCGCGCUGCGCGACCGC
This 94-nucleotide transfer RNA is filed under the name Burkholderia lata. Its description in RNAcentral is "tRNA-Arg". Lineage: Bacteria; Pseudomonadati; Pseudomonadota; Betaproteobacteria; Burkholderiales; Burkholderiaceae. The record is from RNAcentral.